UAGCGGCGAGUGAAGCGGCAAAAGCUCCUAUUUGAAAGCGCUUGGGCGCGUUGUAGAAGGGGGUUGCUUGAGGGUGGAGCGCAGCUAAGUCCCCUGGAAGGGGGCGCCAGAGAGGGUGAGAGCCCCGUGCGCUGUGCGAGGCCUGGAAGCGGCCUCUGCGGAGUCGAGUUGUUUGGGAAUGCAGCUCUAAGAGGGUGGUAAAUUCCAUCUAAGGCUAAACAUUGGCGAGAGACCGAUAGCGAACAAGUACAGUGAUGGAAAGAUGAAAAGCACUUUGAAAAGAGAGUGAAACAGUACGUGAAAUUGUUGAAAGGGAAGGGUAUUUGGUCCGACAUGGGCCUUGGGUAUCGUUGCCUGUAUGGGCGGCGCUCUACCGGGGUCUGGGCCAGGGUGAGGCAUUCGGGGAGUAGAAGAGGGCGGGAAGCACGUAGUGUGGAACGCUAUGACACUGCCACGGGUGCCUGAGGAACGCCUUGUAGGAUGCUGGCAGAACGGCCAAAUACCGCCCGUCUUGAAACAUGGACCAAGGAGUCUAACAUCCAUGCGAGUAUUUGGGUGGGAAACCCAAGUGCGCAAUGAAAGUGAACGUAGGUCGGACCUUUGGGGCACGAUCGACCGAUCCCGAUGUUUAUCGGAAGGAUUUGAGUAAGAGCAUGGCUGUUGGGACCCGAAAGAUGGUGAACUAUGCCUGAAUAGGGUGAAGCCAGAGGAAACUCUGGUGGAGGCUCGUAGCGGUUCUGACGUGCAAAUCGAUCGUCGAAUUUGGGUAUAGGGGCGAAAGACUAAUCGAACCAUCUAGUAGCUGGUUCCCACCGAAGUUUCUCUCAGGAUAGCAGUUGCUCGUAUCAGUUUUAUGCGGUAAAGCGAAUGAUUAGAAGCGCAGGGGCGGUAAACGCCUCACCUUAUUCUCAAACUUUCAAUGUGUAAGAAGCCCUCGUUGCUUAAGUGAACGUGGGCCAUCGAAUGAAGAGCAAUUAGUGGGCCAUUUUUGGUAAGCAGAACUGGCGAUGCGGGAUGAACCGAACGCGAGGUUAAGGUGCCGGAAUACACGCUCAUCAGACACCACAAAAGGUGUUAGUUCAUCCAGACAGCCGGACGGUGGCCAUGGAAGUCGGAAUCCGCUAAGGAGUGUGUAACAACUCACCGGCCGAAUGAACUAGCCCUGAAAAUGGAUGGCGCUCAAGCGUGAUACCUAUACCUUGCCGCCGCGGCGCUGCCGUGGCGAGUAGGUGGGCGUGGGGGUUGUGCCGAAG
Molecule: ribosomal RNA, 1253 nt
Filed under: Saturnispora mangrovi
Lineage: Eukaryota; Fungi; Ascomycota; Pichiomycetes; Pichiales; Pichiaceae
Description: Saturnispora sp. MAW-2018a partial 28S ribosomal RNA
Rfam family: Eukaryotic large subunit ribosomal RNA
Source: RNAcentral